This 356-nucleotide unclassified non-coding RNA is filed under the name Hevea brasiliensis (rubber tree). Lineage: Eukaryota; Viridiplantae; Streptophyta; Magnoliopsida; Malpighiales; Euphorbiaceae. The record is from RNAcentral.
AAAAAAAGUCACUUUGCUUAUGAACAGGAAAGUUCUUUGAGCAAGGUAAUAAUUUAAUCUCAGUUAAUCUUUGUCAGUAAAGGAUUAAUAUAUAUUCACAAUUUAAGGAAGGCAGGUUGGUUUGCUGUCUCCAUUCUUAAUUGCUUUUGUAGUUGAUGUCUUGAGUAGGAUGAUUGAUACAGUGCUCAAAGGGAAUUGAUUCAUGGUGUCAAUCCAAUUUAUUUCUUAACUACUAGCCUUGACCAACUUAUAUCCUCUAUUUAUUUUAAAUUAUUUUUUUUUAUCGAGUUUUAUACUGUAAAGGAAAAUAAGGUGCUUUUUUGUUCUUUUCAGGUUUGAAAAAUCCACUUACAUUG